This 465-nucleotide ribosomal RNA is filed under the name Vreelandella stevensii. RNAcentral's name for it is "partial 16S ribosomal RNA". It matches the Rfam family "Bacterial small subunit ribosomal RNA", at positions 338 to 795 of the family's 1533-position model. The record is from RNAcentral. Lineage: Bacteria; Pseudomonadati; Pseudomonadota; Gammaproteobacteria; Oceanospirillales; Halomonadaceae.
CCUACGGGAGGCAGCAGUGGGGAAUAUUGGACAAUGGGGGCAACCCUGAUCCAGCCAUGCCGCGUGUGUGAAGAAGGCCCUCGGGUUGUAAAGCACUUUCAGUGAGGAAGAACGCCUGGUGGUUAAUACCCAUCAGGAAAGACAUCACUCACAGAAGAAGCACCGGCUAACUCCGUGCCAGCAGCCGCGGUAAUACGGAGGGUGCGAGCGUUAAUCGGAAUUACUGGGCGUAAAGCGCGCGUAGGUGGCUUGAUAAGCCGGUUGUGAAAGCCCCGGGCUCAACCUGGGAACGGCAUCCGGAACUGUCAAGCUAGAGUGCAGGAGAGGAAGGUAGAAUUCCCGGUGUAGCGAUGAAAUGCGUAGAGAUCGGGAGGAAUACCAGUGGCGAAGGCGGCCUUCUGGACUGACACUGACACUGAGGUGCGAAAGCGUGGGUAGCAAACAGGAUUAGAUACCCGUGUAGUC